RNAcentral lists this ribosomal RNA (378 nucleotides) under uncultured bacterium. RNAcentral's name for it is "bacterial SSU rRNA". It matches the Rfam family "Bacterial small subunit ribosomal RNA", at positions 424 to 793 of the family's 1533-position model. The record is from RNAcentral.
CGUAAAGCUCUGUUGUUAAAGAAGAACACGUAUGAGAGUAACUGUUCAUACGUUGACGGUAUUUAACCAGAAAGUCACGGCUAACUACGUGCCAGCAGCCGCGGUAAUACGUAGGUGGCAAGCGUUAUCCGGAUUUAUUGGGCGUAAAGAGAGUGCAGGCGGGUUUUCUAAGUCUGAUGUGAAAGCCUUCGGCUUAACCGGAGAAGUGCAUCGGAAACUGGAUAACUUGAGUGCAGAAGAGGGUAGUGGAACUCCAUGUGUAGCGGUAGAAUGCGUAGAUAUAUGGAAGAACACCAGUGGCGAAGGCGGCUACCUGGUCUGCAACUGACGCUGAGACUCGAAAGCAUGGGUAGCGAACAGGAUUAGAUACCCUGGUAG